Long non-coding RNA from Belonocnema kinseyi, 484 nucleotides. RefSeq lists it as uncharacterized. The record is from RefSeq and is a predicted model, not a curated record. NCBI's taxonomy places the organism in Eukaryota, Metazoa, Arthropoda, Insecta, Hymenoptera, Cynipidae. The transcript is spliced from 3 exons.
AGGAAUAUUUAAUUCAGAAUUUGAACACUGGAACAGUGAUACCCAAGAAGAAAUUACGUUCUGCAUCUCCUCUAAGAGAAGUUAAACCAGAAUUUCUUAACAAAUUGGAUGAAGAGGUCGAGGUGUCACGCAAUGGACAAGAAUCGCACAUUCUGGAUGAUAAAGUACUAAUUUUAAGGUCACAUGACGAAGUACCAUCUUGCUUAGAACCACAACCAGCGCAUGUGGUACAAAAGAAGAAGUCUCUAGAAGGGGAUUGAAACAAAAGUUUUCAUUGCGCUAUCUCAAGCAAUAGAAAAUCUAUUUCCCGGAGAGCUGGCGUGCACAUACUUUACUCCCUAAAAAUCAGAGAAAGGAAUUUCCGUUAAAAAAAGUGGCACUCUUUGGGCUCAUUUCAACUACCUUGUCGAGAGGUCAAGGUCGCAAAACCUUCUUGAAAGGCGCAAAGCAUCAAAAAAGGAUAAGGAAAGUCUCAUCCCGGAAC